UUUCAGAGAUGAGAAUGUGCCUUCGGGAACCGUGAGACAGGUGCUGCAUGGCUGUCGUCAGCUCGUGUUGUGAAAUGUUGGGUUAAGUCCCGCAACGAGCGCAACCCUUAUCCUUUGUUGCCAGCGGUCCGGCCGGGAACUCAAAGGAGACUGCCAGUGAUAAACUGGAGGAAGGUGGGGAUGACGUCAAGUCAUCAUGGCCCUUACGACCAGGGCUACACACGUGCUACAAUGGCGCAUACAAAGAGAAGCGACCUCGCGAGAGCAAGCGGACCUCAUAAAGUGCGUCGUAGUCCGGAUUGGAGUCUGCAACUCGACUCCAUGAAGUCGGAAUCGCUAGUAAUCGUGGAUCAGAAUGCCACGGUGAAUACGUUCCCGGGCCUUGUACACACCGCCCGUCACACCAUGGGAGUGGGUUGCAAAAGAAGUAGGUAGCUUAACCUUCGGGAGGGCGCUUACCACUUUGUGAUUCAUGACUGGGGUGAAGUCGUAACAAGGUAACCGUAGGGGAACCUGCGGUUGGAUCACCUCCUUACCUUAAAGAAGC
RNAcentral lists this ribosomal RNA (547 nucleotides) under Escherichia coli. RNAcentral describes it as "bacterial SSU rRNA". It matches the Rfam family "Bacterial small subunit ribosomal RNA", at positions 998 to 1533 of the family's 1533-position model. The record is from RNAcentral. Lineage: Bacteria; Pseudomonadati; Pseudomonadota; Gammaproteobacteria; Enterobacterales; Enterobacteriaceae. RNAcentral also lists the same sequence under 1 other name.